AGAGUUUGAUUAUGGCUCAGGAUGAACGCUAGCUACAGGCUUAACACAUGCAAGUCGAGGGGCAGCAUGGUGUUGCUUGCAACAACCGAUGGCGACCGGCGCACGGGUGAGUAACGCGUAUCCAACCUGGCCCUUAGUAGGGGAUAGCCCGGCGAAAGUCGGAUUAAUACCCUAUGUUUUCCGUUGCGGACAUCUAAGAUGGAACAAAGGCUUGCCGCUAAGGGAUGGGGAUGCGUCUGAUUAGAUGGUAGGCGGGGUAACGGCCCACCUAGUCGACGAUCAGUAGGGGUUCUGAGAGGAAGGUCCCCCACAUUGGAACUGAGACACGGUCCAAACUCCUACGGGAGGCAGCAGUGAGGAAUAUUGGUCAAUGGUCGAGAGACUGAACCAGCCAAAGUAGCGUGCAGGAAGACGGCCCUAUGGGUUGUAAACUGCUUUUAUGCGGGGAUAAAGUUGGGGACGUGUCCCUUUUUGUAGGUACCGCAUGAAUAAGGACCGGCUAAUUCCGUGCCAGCCGCUGC
This 521-nucleotide ribosomal RNA is filed under the name uncultured bacterium. RNAcentral describes it as "bacterial SSU rRNA". It matches the Rfam family "Bacterial small subunit ribosomal RNA", at positions 8 to 518 of the family's 1533-position model. The record is from RNAcentral.